This 2342-nucleotide long non-coding RNA is filed under the name Androctonus crassicauda. The record is from RNAcentral. Lineage: Eukaryota; Metazoa; Arthropoda; Arachnida; Scorpiones; Buthidae.
UAUGCUUUUAUUGUAAUUUUUUGUAGUUUUAAAUGUAUAAUUUCAUAAAUUUUGAACAAAAAUGUGCACUGUAUGGAAUAUUUCAUUUUUGUAUAAACUCAUAUGAACUGUGCACUUUUAUUUAUCUUCAUUUUGACAUUAUCAUGCUUUUUUAUCAAUUAUUUUUUGUCUUUCAACAAAACUGUUGGAUUUUUAAAUUAAAAGGAUUCAAGGAUCUUUUUAUAUUUGAAAUUUCAUGUUAUAAUGUUGACUGGAUUCUUAAGUUGAGAUCCAGUUUAAUAUAUAUGUAUAUUUUUAGUAGAUACAAAAAUUGAACACUUUGGAAAUAUGAAAAAAUAAAAUAUGAUGAUUAUAUAUCACUGCCACAUUGGAUAGCCAACCUAAAGGCCCUGCUUAAUUUCAACCAUCCAUGUCCAGGAGUAACAACCAUCUCAAAUAUAUAAUUCUUCAGAAUGGCUAUCUCAUUCUCUAUGAAGUAUUCAAGAGAAGCCAAGUCCUUUUUUGAAUAUAAUGCAGAGUGUAUCUUGUUGAGGACAGAUAUCUGUCUAUCAGAACAAUAUUUCAUUGCCUCUGAUAUCUCCAGGUAUAUAUGAUCAUGCAUCCAUAUCAUCACCCAAUGCUAUUCUCUCCAUCCUUAUGAAUAUUGCUUCUAUAAGAUCCUUCACAUUAUCAACAGAUGAUGGAUACAUCUUCCAUCCCUUGAAUACAUCUGGAUCAAUGUCAUAUAUGUCUUGAUGUAGCUUCCUAUGUCUCUUCCAUCAUUAUGUAAGUCAUACUUUGAUAAUGUUUUCUUCCAUAUACCAAGGAUAUUAUUACCAUCAAGCUUAUGUGUUGGGAUUGGAUCUAGGACAAUAAUCCUAAGCUUAGAUAGUUCCAAUGGAGAGGCAUAGCAUGUAUCUUAUACCUUGUAUUCUGGGAUGAUAUCAAAGAAGCUGAUUUGUGAAGAAAGGUUAUUCGAUGGAGCAUUAUGUGAGAGUUUUAGCCUUGGGACCAAAGACAUGCUGAUUAUAUAAUGGAUGUGUAUGUUGAUGGGAGUGUGCAAUGGGUUUUAGAUAUGGGGAGUUUAGAUGGAUGAAGUUAGUCAGGGCUUUAGAAUGGGUAAGGAGAAUAGGCAGGGCUGUGGAUGGCUCAGAUGGACAGGAGUGAUGACUGGGCUUUUAUGACAAUCAGGGUUUUUUGAUAGUAGGGGGUUUGGCUGUGAUUAAGUUAGGCUAAGCCUGUGGUCAGAUCAAGCUUUUUAUAGGUAGGACUCUGAGGAGUUAAGAUGGCAAGGCUCAGAGCAGGGUUUUAUGAUAAUCGGUGCUUUAGAUUAGGCAGGGAGUUAGAUAAGUAGAUUAGGGUUUUAGAUUAGACUAAGUGAUAAGUUAGAAAGGCUUUUAUGCAAGUCAGGGUUUUAGAACUAGGCCUUUAUAUCAGGGUUUUUCUUUGGCCAUUUGUGUAGGUAGGACUUUAUCAAGGCAGGGUUUUAAAAUGGGAGAGGAAAUGUUCAGGGAGAGUGGACAAGUUUUUUUUGUAGGGACUAUGGAUGGCUAGGGUUUUAUAUAUGAUAUGAUAUAAUCAGGACUUUAUCAAGGCCUAUGAACAGGUCGAAUGGCUAGGUAGAAUGAGUAUGGAGUUAGGACCGAAUUUUCAUUCAGAGGGAUGAUGGGAAGGGCAGUGAUUGGGGUGUGGGGGAGAAUGAAGUAGUUAGAAUGGGAUUUUGGUGGACAGAGAUGAUGAUCAGGGAUUUAUCAAGGGGAUGAUGGGUAAGGUUUUAGGUUAAGCAGGCUUUUCUUUAGGCUAGGGCUUUAUCAAAGGUUAAAUAAGUCUCUCCAUCUUAGUGAGUUGGCAUCUCCAUGAUCAGCCAGUGGAUUAUAUUCAAGGUCUAAGAGUUGGAUGUGUUCAAGGGUUGUGAUCUCUUGGGGCAAUAGUUGUAUCUGGUUCAUUGAAAGAUAUAGGUGGCAUAGAUGAAUGGGAUCAACUAUCCAAGGUGGCAAUGAUUGCAUCCUGUUUCCAGCAAGAUACAGGUGGUGCAAGGCUAUUUAGAUGGCUGAUGGGAUGUGGCAAUGAUUUCGGCUAAUUCCUGUGGAGUGAUAGCUUAUGCAGGGCCUUUUAGGUUGUCUAUCCAAUGUGGCAGUGAUUGGAUAGCCAACCUAAAGGUCUGCUUAAUUUUCAACUUAAUAAAUUUAAAUAUUAGAUAUAAUGUUUAAUAACUCAGAUUUGUUUUUUGUCAAUAAUAAUUAAAAAAAUAUUUGAAGAAUGCUUUUCAACAUUGGUAAUAGUAUUAAAUGUGUUUUGUAAUUAAAAUUGUGUACUAGUAAAAAAUCUGAGACUAACAGUAAUAAUUUGUAUUUAAUUCCCAC